UUUAUUGCGAAUUCAUUAGGUACUCUUUAGGAGUUUAAUAGGGAAGUUCGGUGAAAGUCCGACACAGCCCCCGCUACUGUAAGUGAGGAUGAAAUCGACCAUAUGUCACUUGUAUGCUACAGGGAAGACGUCGAGAGUAAAGGGAUUCACGAGUCAGGAGACCUGCCUAAUGAUGCACUCACUG
RNAcentral lists this non-coding RNA (184 nucleotides) under Thermotalea metallivorans. Lineage: Bacteria; Bacillati; Bacillota; Clostridia; Peptostreptococcales; Thermotaleaceae. The record is from RNAcentral.